This 74-nucleotide transfer RNA is filed under the name Chloroflexota bacterium. RNAcentral describes it as "Chloroflexi bacterium tRNA-Pro". It matches the Rfam family "tRNA". From Rfam's summary of the family: Transfer RNA (tRNA) molecules are approximately 80 nucleotides in length. RNAcentral also lists the same sequence under 1 other name. Lineage: Bacteria; Bacillati; Chloroflexota. The record is from RNAcentral.
CGGGGAAUGGCGCAGCCUGGUAGCGCGCUGCGUUCGGGUCGCAGAGGUCUCGGGUUCAAAUCCCGAUUCCCCGA